This 219-nucleotide ribosomal RNA is filed under the name Gazella subgutturosa subgutturosa (Persian gazelle). RNAcentral describes it as "partial small subunit ribosomal RNA". It matches the Rfam family "Bacterial small subunit ribosomal RNA", at positions 765 to 1025 of the family's 1533-position model. The record is from RNAcentral. Lineage: Eukaryota; Metazoa; Chordata; Mammalia; Artiodactyla; Bovidae.
UCCCAAACUGGGAUUAGAUACCCCACUAUGCUUAGCCCUAAACACAAAUAAUUACAUAAACAAAAUUAUUCGCCAGAGCACUACCGGCAAUAGCCUAAAACUCAAAGGACUUGGCGGUGCUUUAUACCCCUCUAGAGGAGCCUGUUCUAUAAUCGAUAAACCCCGAUAAACCUCACCAAUCCUUGCUAAUACAGUCUAUAUACCGCCAUCUUCAGCAAA